AAAUAAGUGGCAGAAAAAUUGCAUUGGUUUUAAACACCUUAAAUAAGGAUUCCCUUCUUAUUUU
RNAcentral lists this transfer RNA (64 nucleotides) under Partulina redfieldi. RNAcentral's name for it is "tRNA-Leu". It matches the Rfam family "tRNA". From Rfam's summary of the family: Transfer RNA (tRNA) molecules are approximately 80 nucleotides in length. Their secondary structure includes four short double-helical elements and three loops (D, anti-codon, and T loops). The record is from RNAcentral. Lineage: Eukaryota; Metazoa; Mollusca; Gastropoda; Stylommatophora; Achatinellidae.